RNAcentral lists this ribosomal RNA (492 nucleotides) under uncultured bacterium. Its description in RNAcentral is "partial 16S ribosomal RNA". It matches the Rfam family "Bacterial small subunit ribosomal RNA", at positions 29 to 507 of the family's 1533-position model. The record is from RNAcentral.
AGUGAACGCUGGCGGCAGGCCUAACACAUGCAAGUCGAACGGCAGCACAGUAAGAGCUUGCUCUUACGGGUGGCGAGGGGCGGACGGGUGAGGAAUACAUCGGAAACUACUUUUUCGGGGGGGAUAACGGAGGGAAACUGAUGCUAAUACCGCAUAUGUCCUACGGGUGAAAGCAGUGGUGCUUCGGACUUUUGGCGAUUGUAAGAGCCGGUGUCGGAUUAGCUAGUUGGCGAGGUAAAGGCCCACCAAGGCGACGAUCCGUAGCUGGUCUGAGAGGAUGAUCAGCCACACUGGAACUGAGACACGGUCCAGACUCCUACGGGAGGCAGCAGUGGGGAAUAUUGGGCAAUGGGCGCAAGCCUGAUCGAGCAGUACCGCGUGAGUGAUGAAGGUCUUCGGGUCGUAAAGCCCUGUUGUUGGGAAAGAACAAAAGCAGGUUAAUCCCCCGCCGUUUUGACGGUACCUAAAGAAUAAGCACCGGCUAACUUCGUG